GCGAAGGUGGCGGAAUUGAUAGACGCGCUAGCUUCAGGUGUUAGUGUCCUUACGGACGUGGGGGUUCAAGUCCCCCCCCUCGCACCA
This 87-nucleotide transfer RNA is filed under the name Escherichia coli. RNAcentral describes it as "tRNA-Leu". It matches the Rfam family "tRNA". Rfam says of the family: Transfer RNA (tRNA) molecules are approximately 80 nucleotides in length. Lineage: Bacteria; Pseudomonadati; Pseudomonadota; Gammaproteobacteria; Enterobacterales; Enterobacteriaceae. RNAcentral also lists the same sequence under 1 other name. The record is from RNAcentral.